CAGUGGGGUCAUGAGAGCAGGCUUAGGGACUCGGGAUGAGGAUGUGGAAAGACUGUAAGAGCUGGUGGAUUGGAUGGUGAGGGGAGCUGUGGAAUGCUGUCUUCUGGACAAGACAUGGCUGUUGCAUACAUCAAACUCUCCAUAGCAGCUGUGAUCACAUGCCUUAGGAAAGGUCAAGCUAGUCAAGACCCCAGCUUGGAUGAGGAGGGGACUCCUGAAUGCUCUCCCUGGAGGGAAGAACUAUUGGUCGUUGAUGGGUGCUGAGAGAGGACAGUCAUUCGCUUCUGAGGAUGCAGCCAUUGGUGGAAACUAAACCCAGGGCCUUGCCCUUGCCAGAUGGACACUGCUGCUGAGCUGCUGAGCUGCUGAGCUAAAUCCCUAGCCUACAAUGUUCUUCUUAUCCCAAUGUGAGGGAUAUAUGUUCUUCCUUGGAGUCUUCUUCAAUUCCUAUCACCCAUGCUAUGUCAACAAGAGAACUUACUCCUAUUGGUGAGAUUUCCCUCUGCCUGUCUUGCCAAUCUAAAGACCAACUGACCUACAGGUAGAGUAGGAGCUAAGCUCAGACUCCUUUACUCAGUCUGGAACCCCACAGCUGCUUGCAUUUAUCACCUACUGAGUGGCCUCCAUUUCAAGAUCUUUGCCUACUCCAAACUGCCCAAUUGUUUUCAAUAAGGGGAAUUAAUGUUGCCGAGAAUCAAUGGCUCUCAGCUCUGAUAAAUGGAGAAAGAAUGAACUUGAAGGCUUUAGCUGCUAUACUUUGCUCUUAGCCUUGUCUUCGGCUCUGUGUUCUAUUUGUCACGAUUUGUCACGAGCUGUCUUCCAGCCCUGGUGUUUCUGUUGUGAUUUUGCCUGAGAUUUGCAAGUGCUGAUUCAGUCAAUAGUUUA
Mus musculus (house mouse) is the source of this 885-nucleotide long non-coding RNA. RefSeq annotates it as predicted gene, 41298. NCBI's taxonomy places the organism in Eukaryota, Metazoa, Chordata, Mammalia, Rodentia, Muridae. The transcript has 3 exons. The record is from RefSeq and is a predicted model, not a curated record.